AGUGAACGCUGGCGGUAGGCCUAACACAUGCAAGUCGAACGGCAGCACAGUAAGAGCUUGCUCUUACGGGUGGCGAGUGGCGGACGGGUGAGGAAUACAUCGGAAUCUACUUUUUCGUGGGGGAUAACGUAGGGAAACUUACGCUAAUACCGCAUACGACCUACGGGUGAAAGCAGGGGAUCUUCGGACCUUGCGCGAUUGAAUGAGCCGAUGUCGGAUUAGCUAGUUGGCGGGGUAAAGGCCCACCAAGGCGACGAUCCGUAGCUAGUCUGAGAGGAUGAUCAGCCACACUGGAACUGAGACACGGUCCAGACUCCUACGGGAGGCGGCAGUGGGGAAUAUUGGACAAUGGGCGCAAGCCUGAUCCAGCCAUACCGCGUGGGUGAAGAAGGCCUUCGGGUUGUAAAGCCCUUUUGUUGGGAAAGAAAAGCAGCAGGUUAAUACCCCGCUGUUCUGACGGUACCCAAAGAAUAAGCACCGGCUAACUUCGUG
This 492-nucleotide ribosomal RNA is filed under the name uncultured bacterium. RNAcentral describes it as "partial 16S ribosomal RNA". It matches the Rfam family "Bacterial small subunit ribosomal RNA", at positions 29 to 507 of the family's 1533-position model. The record is from RNAcentral.